This 235-nucleotide unclassified non-coding RNA is filed under the name uncultured fungus. Its description in RNAcentral is "sequence contains ITS2". Lineage: Eukaryota; Fungi. The record is from RNAcentral.
AACGCACAUUGCGCCCUUUGGUAUUCCGAGGGGCAUGCCUGUUCGAGCGUCAUUACACCUCUCAAGCCUGGCUUGGUGUUGGGCCGUACCGGGAACGGUUGGCUCUAAAAUCAGUGGCGGUGCCUCGUCGGCCCUGAGCGUAGUACACAUCUCGCUAUAGGACCGGUAGGUGUCUGCCAGAACCCCUAAUUCUAUGGUUGACCUCGGAUCAGGUAGGGAUACCCGCUGAACUUAA